This 91-nucleotide small RNA is filed under the name Caenorhabditis elegans. RNAcentral describes it as "Unclassified non-coding RNA T28H11.32". The record is from RNAcentral. Lineage: Eukaryota; Metazoa; Nematoda; Chromadorea; Rhabditida; Rhabditidae.
GGUGGUGGAGCCACGUCUGGGUACUUCGGAGUUGGACAAGGAGUUAUGGGAGGUGGAGGUGCUGUUGGCCAAUCUGCCUACUUCGGAGUUG